Long non-coding RNA from Nerophis ophidion (straightnose pipefish), 746 nucleotides. RefSeq lists it as uncharacterized. The record is from RefSeq and is a predicted model, not a curated record. The transcript is spliced from 2 exons. NCBI's taxonomy places the organism in Eukaryota, Metazoa, Chordata, Actinopteri, Syngnathiformes, Syngnathidae.
GCUGGCGGGUCCGUCAACGGCCGUUCCAGGCAGAGGAGAAGGCUUGAUUGCGCCAAAGACUCCAGACAUCGAAUCCUUGCUCCGAGGGGAAAUCAUCGAAAACGACGGUGAAUGUCCGACAGGCACCCGCUAUUGGUAACACUGGACAAGUCGGAUAUCCUUGCUUGGAUCCUUUUAAAGUUGCCCGAUAAACUGCUGAGAGUUGAUCUCUCCUCUUGUCCAAAGGUUUUUCGUUCAUUUUUACUUGUAAUACUGGCACUAGGGUCGAUGUAGUAGCUCCACAACAUAACCUUAAAGCCUGUGACUGGAUCCGGUCUAUUUUCCCAAGUCAUGUUUUUGAAGCAGAUUGGUAAAUAAUGCAUCCGUAAUCAAUAACAGAUGGAAUUAAAGUUAUAAAUAUAUACAUGUAUUAUUUUCAACGUUAACCUAUCAGCCCCCCAAUCAUUACCCCUCAAAGACCUCAUUAUAUUUAACACCUUUUUACUUUUUCCCCUAUUUUUUUAUUUUCCGGAAGGAACACUCCUGAAGGAAUAAAUAAAGUACUAUCUAAUCUAAUCUAAUCAAAUCUAUUUUGCUGAUGUGGGUUGACUAGUUCAUAUUUUUAUCAAACCAUAUUCCUAAAUAUUUAAAUACUUGUACCUCUUCUAUAUUUUCACCUUAGAGUUUUUAUUUGGAGCUUGUUUGGUACUUUUGUCUUUGUAAAAUGUAUGACUUUUGUCUUUCCAACAGAGAAUCUUAAACCUCAA